This 484-nucleotide ribosomal RNA is filed under the name uncultured bacterium. Its description in RNAcentral is "partial 16S ribosomal RNA". It matches the Rfam family "Bacterial small subunit ribosomal RNA", at positions 48 to 523 of the family's 1533-position model. The record is from RNAcentral.
CUAACACAUGCAAGUCGAGCGGUAACAUGGUUAGUAGCAAUACUAGCUGAUGACGAGCGGCGGACGGGUGAGUAACACGUAGGAACUUGCCCAAUAGAGGGGGAUAACCAGCGGAAACGCUGGCUAAUACCGCAUAUACUCGUGAGAGGAAAGCUGCCCGCAAGGGUGGCGCUAUUGGAGAGGCCUGCGUCCGAUUAGCUAGUUGGUGAGGUAAAGGCUCACCAAGGCUGGGAUCGGUAACUGGUCUGAGAGGACGACCAGUCCCACUGGGACUGAGACACGGCCCAGACUCCUACGGGAGGCAGCAGUGGGGAGUAUUGGACAAUGGGGGAAACCCUGAUCCAGCAAUGCCGCGUGUGUGAAGAAGGCCUUAGGGUUGUAAAGCACUUUCAGCGGGGAGGAAAAUAUCAAGGGUAAUAUACUUGAGAAUUGACGUUACCCGCGGAAGAAGCACUGGCUAACUCUGUGCCAGCCGCCGCGGUAA